UCCGCCGGGUGCUAGCGUUGUUCGGAAUCACUGGGCGUAAAGCGCGCGUAGGCGGCGCAGCAAGUCAGGGGUGAAAUCCCAGAGCUUAACUCUGGAACUGCCUUUGAAACUGCUGUGCUAGAGUGUCGGAGGGGAUGGCGGAAUUGCUAAUGUAGAGGUGAAAUUCGUAGAUAUUAGCAGGAACACCGGUGGCGAAGGCGGCCAUCUGGACGACAACUGACGCUGAGGCGCGAAAGCGUGGGGAUCAAACAGG
RNAcentral lists this ribosomal RNA (253 nucleotides) under uncultured bacterium. Its description in RNAcentral is "partial 16S ribosomal RNA". It matches the Rfam family "Bacterial small subunit ribosomal RNA", at positions 524 to 776 of the family's 1533-position model. The record is from RNAcentral.